CUUCAUAACCAAAUCCAACACCAGCGUGACCUUUUACGUUGCUCUCCAUCUCUCCGUCUCCUUCACGUGUGCUCUGAAUCUGUGCUUAUUUUUCACGUGGCACAAGACGUGUGUUCACGUGUGAAAGGUCAAACCUGCACCUGCUUUCUAACUUUCUGUCUAACAGGAUCUUUAUUUACUCCGAAGGACACAAAUGCAUGUAAAAAUCAACCGGCGGGAUAAAACACGUCCCCCGCAGACGUGACCUUUCAUAAAAAACAAGAGCCUUUUAUUUCAUUCUUUCGGUCCCGGCGACUGGAAAUUCCUCCUCUGUUUAUUUACGACGCAGUGACACGGCCGUGAAUCGCAGCACAAAGUGAAACUCAUAUAGUUAUCAAAAGCAUAAAAUUCCUUUCACUUUAGAUGUCAGGGGAAUGAAAGAGGUAGUCAUAAAGGAGACGUGAGGCGUAAAUCAGCCGGGGGUCGAGCGGGACAGAGAGGAACAGAGGAGGAGCCGAGCCACGCUGCAGCUGCUGCUGUCUAAUCCAGACUUCCUGUCCGAUCAGAAUCGGACUUCUUCCUGCUUGUCACCUUUACUGCAUCCUACUGUGCCAUCAUGAUCUCAUACAGCUCUUCUCCCAGCAUGCUUUGCUAAAUGAACACGGAUCUCCUAAGCGGCCUCCUCGUUCCCGACUCAAACCUCAAGCCGCCGAUUUCACGCUUACACGCAGCUCAGCCAGGGCCUUCAGAUGCAGCUGAGGUUCGCGACCUCUCACCUCAUCCAUCAUGACGUGAUUGACGUGGGAAGCCGGCCAGUGACAUGCCAGCGCAUUGGGGCAGGGCCAGAACCGGGGCAGCAGAUGGAAUCUAUUGGUUCAUAUCUAUAUGCUGAUAAGACUGUUUAGUGAAAUGAUUUAUGGAACUAAUUUAGGCUAAAGAUAUCCUGAGUAUUAACAUGUAUUAUACGUCAGUGCGCUCCAAGAGAGCAUCAGAGAUCAUUAAACUUACUGUCUUGUUAGUUGUUUCUUUUAUUCUUUCUUUCUUUUUAUUUCCACUAUUAAACCUUGGUGUAAAUCUA
Long non-coding RNA from Tachysurus fulvidraco (yellow catfish), 1057 nucleotides. RefSeq lists it as uncharacterized. NCBI's taxonomy places the organism in Eukaryota, Metazoa, Chordata, Actinopteri, Siluriformes, Bagridae. The transcript has 2 exons. The record is from RefSeq and is a predicted model, not a curated record.